RNAcentral lists this ribosomal RNA (490 nucleotides) under uncultured bacterium. RNAcentral's name for it is "partial 16S ribosomal RNA". It matches the Rfam family "Bacterial small subunit ribosomal RNA", at positions 30 to 507 of the family's 1533-position model. The record is from RNAcentral.
AUUGAACGCUGGCGGCAGGCCUAACACAUGCAAGUCGAACGGUAACAGGGAUCAGCUUGCUGAUUCGCUGCCGAGUGGCGGACGGGUGAGUAAUGUCUGGGAAACUGCCUGAUGGAGGGGGAUAACUACUGGAAACGGUAGCUAAUACCGCAUAACGUCGCAAGACCAAAGAGGGGGACCUUCGGGCCUCUUGCCAUCGGAUGUGCCCAGAUGGGAUUAGCUAGUAGGUGGGGUAACGGCUCACCUAGGCGACGAUCCCUAGCUGGUCUGAGAGGAUGACCAGCCACACUGGAACUGAGACACGGUCCAGACUCCUACGGGAGGCAGCAGUGGGGAAUAUUGCACAAUGGGCGCAAGCCUGAUGCAGCCAUGCCGCGUGUAUGAAGAAGGCCUUCGGGUUGUAAAGUACUUUCAGCGGGGAGGAAGGGAGUAAAGUUAAUACCUUUGCUCAUUGACGUUACCCGCAGAAGAAGCACCGGCUAACUCCGUG